CUCCAACAAAAGAGAGUCCAUUCUCGAUUACUUAUGGUGACGAGGCUAUGAGCCAAGUAGAAAUCAUAUUGCUUUCUCCAUGUCGAUUACACUUCGGUGAAAUAUCAAAUGAUGAAAUCAAAAGGUGUGAACUUUUUUCUUAAUGAAAAGAGAGAUGACUCUCAAUUGAAAUUGGCUAUUUACCAAAGAAAGAUAACCCGUUACUAUAAUGCU
RNAcentral lists this long non-coding RNA (213 nucleotides) under Olea europaea (common olive). RNAcentral describes it as "long non-coding RNA (OEUR_LNC001608)". The record is from RNAcentral. Lineage: Eukaryota; Viridiplantae; Streptophyta; Magnoliopsida; Lamiales; Oleaceae.